GGGAGUGUAGUUCAGUGAUAGAGUGCUUGCUUAGCAUGCACGAGGCCCUGGGUUUAAUCCCCAGCACCAUCA
This 72-nucleotide transfer RNA is filed under the name Urocitellus parryii (Arctic ground squirrel). RNAcentral describes it as "Spermophilus parryii (Arctic ground squirrel) tRNA". It matches the Rfam family "tRNA". Rfam says of the family: Transfer RNA (tRNA) molecules are approximately 80 nucleotides in length. RNAcentral also lists the same sequence under 2 other names. Lineage: Eukaryota; Metazoa; Chordata; Mammalia; Rodentia; Sciuridae. The record is from Rfam by way of RNAcentral.